AUUAUGAGAGUUUGAUCCUGGCUCAGGACGAACGCUGGCGGCGUGCCUAAUACAUGCAAGUCGAACGCUUCUUUCCUCCCGAGUGCUUGCACUCAAUUGGAAAGAGGAGUGGCGGACGGGUGAGUAACACGUGGGUAACCUACCCAUCAGAGGGGGAUAACACUUGGAAACAGGUGCUAAUACCGCAUAACAGUUUAUGCCGCAUGGCAUAAGAGUGAAAGGCGCUUUCGGGUGUCGCUGAUGGAUGGACCCGCGGUGCAUUAGCUAGUUGGUGAGGUAACGGCUCACCAAGGCCACGAUGCAUAGCCGACCUGAGAGGGUGAUCGGCCACACUGGGACUGAGACACGGCCCAGACUCCUACGGGAGGCAGCAGUAGGGAAUCUUCGGCAAUGGACGAAAGUCUGACCGAGCAACGCCGCGUGAGUGAAGAAGGUUUUCGGAUCGUAAAACUCUGUUGUUAGAGAAGAACAAGGACGUUAGUAACUGAACGUCCCCUGACGGUAUCUAACCAGAAAGCCACGGCUAACUACGUGCCAGCAGCCGCGGUAAUACGUAGGUGGCAAGCGUUGUCCGGAUUUAUUGGGCGUAAAGCGAGCGCAGGCGGUUUCUUAAGUCUGAUGUGAAAGCCCCCGGCUCAACCGGGGAGGGUCAUUGGAAACUGGGAGACUUGAGUGCAGAAGAGGAGAGUGGAAUUCCA
This 698-nucleotide ribosomal RNA is filed under the name Escherichia coli. Its description in RNAcentral is "bacterial SSU rRNA". It matches the Rfam family "Bacterial small subunit ribosomal RNA", at positions 1 to 671 of the family's 1533-position model. The record is from RNAcentral. Lineage: Bacteria; Pseudomonadati; Pseudomonadota; Gammaproteobacteria; Enterobacterales; Enterobacteriaceae.